RNAcentral lists this ribosomal RNA (403 nucleotides) under uncultured bacterium. RNAcentral describes it as "partial 16S ribosomal RNA". It matches the Rfam family "Bacterial small subunit ribosomal RNA", at positions 30 to 526 of the family's 1533-position model. The record is from RNAcentral.
AUUGAACGCUGGCGGCAGGCCUAACACAUGCAAGUCGAGCGAGCGGCGGACGGGUGAGUAAUGUAUGGGGACUGCCCGAUAGAGGGGGAUAACUACUGGAAACGGUGGCUAAUACCGCAUACUAUCGGAUAACCCAUAUGGGAUUAGCUAGUAGGUGGGGUAAAGGCUCACCUAGGCGACUAUCUCUAGCUGGUCUGAGAGGAUGAUCAGCAACACUGGAAAUGAGACACGGGCCAGGCUCCUACGGAGGCAGCAGUGGGGAAUAUUGCACAAUGGGCGCAAGCCUGAUGCAGCCAGGCCGCGUGUAUAAAGAAGGCCUUCGGGUUGUAAAGUACUUUCAGCGAGGAGGCGUUACUCGCAGAAGAAGCACCGGCUAACUCCGUGCCAGAAGGCGCGGUAAUUC